AUUGAACGCUGGCGGCAUGCUUUACACAUGCAAGUCGAACGGCAGCGCGGGCUUCGGCCUGGCGGCGAGUGGCGAACGGGUGAGUAAUACAUCGGAACGUGCCCAGUAGUGGGGGAUAGCUCGGCGAAAGCCGGAUUAAUACCGCAUACGACCUGAGGGUGAAAGCGGGGGAUCUUCGGAGCUCGCGCUAUUUGAGCGGCCGAUGGCAGAUUAGCUAGUUGGUGGGGUAAAGGCCUACCAAGGCGACGAUCUGUAGCUGGUCUGAGAGGACGACCAGCCACACUGGGACUGAGACACGGCCCAGACUCCUACGGGAGGCAGCAGUGGGGAAUUUUGGACAAUGGGCGAAAGCCCGAUCCAGCAAUGCCGCGUGUGUGAUGAAGGCCUUCGGGUUGUAAAGCACUUUUGGCGGGAACGAAAAGGACUGUGCCAAUACCACGGUUCGAUGACGGUACCCGCAGAAUAAGCACCGGCUAACUACGUG
RNAcentral lists this ribosomal RNA (484 nucleotides) under uncultured bacterium. RNAcentral's name for it is "partial 16S ribosomal RNA". It matches the Rfam family "Bacterial small subunit ribosomal RNA", at positions 29 to 507 of the family's 1533-position model. The record is from RNAcentral.